AUCGGCGUAGCGUAGUGGUUUCAACGCGUUGGUUUCCGGAGCCAAAGAUCGUGAGUUCGACUCUCACCGUCGAUG
Non-coding RNA from Amoeboaphelidium occidentale, 75 nucleotides. The record is from the annotation of a GenBank genome assembly. NCBI's taxonomy places the organism in Eukaryota, Fungi, Aphelidiomycota, Aphelidea.